RNAcentral lists this ribosomal RNA (914 nucleotides) under uncultured marine archaeon. RNAcentral's name for it is "bacterial SSU rRNA". It matches the Rfam family "Archaeal small subunit ribosomal RNA", at positions 1 to 922 of the family's 1478-position model. The record is from RNAcentral.
UUCCGGUUGAUCCUGCCGGACCUGACUGCUAUCGGAUUGAUACUAAGCCAUGCGAGUCUUUGUAGUAAUACAAGGCAGACGGCUCAGUAACACGUAGUCAACCUACCCUAUGGACGAGGAUAAUCUCGGGAAACUGAGGAUAAUACUCGAUAGAUCAUAAUGCCUGGAAUGGUUUAUGGUUAAAAUGAUUCGUCGCCAUAGGAUGGGACUGCGGCCUAUCAGCUUGUUGGUGAGGUAAUGGCCCACCAAGGCGAUUACAGGUACGGGCUCUGAGAGGAGAAGCCCGGAGAUGGGUACUGAGACAAGGACCCAGGCCCUAUGGGGCGCAGCAGGCGAGAAAACUUUGCAAUGUGCGAAAGCACGACAAGGUUAAUCCGAGUGAUUUCUGCUAAAGAGAUCUUUUACCAGUCAUAAAACCACUGGUGAAUAAGGGGUGGGCAAGUUCUGGUGUCAGCCGCCGCGGUAAAACCAGCACCUCAAGUGGUCAGGAUGAUUAUUGGGCCUAAAGCAUCCGUAGCCGGCUCUGUAAGUUUUCGGUUAAAUCCAUGUGCUCAACGCAUGGGCUGCCGAAAAUACUGCAUAGCUAGGGAGUGGGAGAGGUAGACGGUACUCAGUAGGAAGGGGUAAAAUCCUUUGAUCUAUUGAUGACCACCUGUGGCGAAGGCGGUCUACCAGAACACGUUCGACGGUGAGGGAUGAAAGCUGGGGGAGCAAACCGGAUUAGAUACCCGGGUAGUCCCAGCUGUAAACGAUGCAGACUCGAUGAUGCAUUGGCAUAUAGCCAGUGCAGUGUCGCAGGGAAGCCGUUAAGUCUGCCGCCUGGGAAGUACGUACGCAAGUAUGAAACUUAAAGGAAUUGGCGGGGGAGCACCACAAGGGGUGAAGCCUGCGGUUCAAUUGGAUUCAACGCCGGG